Molecule: ribosomal RNA, 492 nt
Filed under: uncultured bacterium
Lineage: Bacteria
Description: partial 16S ribosomal RNA
Rfam family: Bacterial small subunit ribosomal RNA
Source: RNAcentral
AGUGAACGCUGGCGGUAGGCCUAACACAUGCAAGUCGAACGGCAGCACAGUAAGAGCUUGCUCUUACGGGUGGCGAGUGGCGGACGGGUGAGGAAUACAUCGGAAUCUACUUUUUCGUGGGGGAUAACGUAGGGAAACUUACGCUAAUACCGCAUACGACCUACGGGUGAAAGCAGGGGAUCUUCGGACCUUUCGCGAUUGAAUGAGCCGAUGUCGGAUUAGCUAGUUGGCGGGGUAAAGGCCCACCAAGGCGACGAUCCGUAGCUGGUCUGAGAGGAUGAUCAGCCACACUGGAACUGAGACACGGUCCAGACUCCUACGGGAGGCAGCAGUGGGGAAUAUUGGACAAUGGGCGAAAGCCUGAUCCAGCCAUACCGCGUGGGUGAAGAAGGCCUUCGGGUUGUAAAGCCCUUUUGUUGGGAAAGAAAAGCAGCAGGUUAAUCCACCGAUGUUCUGACGGUACCCAAAGAAUAAGCCCCGGCUAACUUCGUG